RNAcentral lists this ribosomal RNA (272 nucleotides) under uncultured bacterium. Its description in RNAcentral is "partial 16S ribosomal RNA". It matches the Rfam family "Bacterial small subunit ribosomal RNA", at positions 524 to 796 of the family's 1533-position model. The record is from RNAcentral.
UACGGAGGGGCUAGCGUUGUUCGGAAUUACUGGGCGUAAAGCGCACGUAGGCGGCUUUGUAAGUUAGAGGUGAAAGCCCGGGGCUCAACUCCGGAAUUGCCUUUAAGACUGCAUCGCUAGAAUUGUGGAGAGGUGAGUGGAAUUCCGAGUGUAGAGGUGAAAUUCGUAGAUAUUCGGAAGAACACCAGUGGCGAAGGCGACUCACUGGACACAUAUUGACGCUGAGGUGCGAAAGCGUGGGGAGCAAACAGGAUUAGAAACCCCAGUAGUCC